GGAGAUGUGGCUCAGUGGUAGAGUGCUAGCCCUAGCGGAGCAGAGGCCUGGAUUCAAUCCACAGCAACACACA
Molecule: transfer RNA, 73 nt
Filed under: Marmota monax (woodchuck)
Lineage: Eukaryota; Metazoa; Chordata; Mammalia; Rodentia; Sciuridae
Description: tRNA.Ala
Source: RNAcentral